UAGACAGAACAUGAGGCUGUAUCCUGAUGACCAGCUGACAGGCGAUUAUUGAAACUGGCUGUAAUGUGGGGUUGUAAAAGAACACGCUUAAGAGCUAAUGGAGUUGUAACUCAUAUGUGACCUUCAUUUGAAAGUACUGUAAUUGGGAAACCCAUAUUUUAUUGUGAUAUAAUAACCGCAGACCGAGACUCAUGAAACCACAGCAGACUCAGCUUUUUAUGCUUCAGACGGUUUUCACCGCUGUGAGUGUAGCAUCUGAGGUUAUUUUAGCUUGAGUCAAUCAAUGGAUUGUCACGGCCCUGGCACUUCUCAGCCACAACCUGUGGCCUCACCCAUGGGACCACCUGCACCACAGGCUCCAUCCCCCAUGCCACCUCCUCAGACUCCACCUCCUACAGGCCAAGGGCAGCAGCAGAUCCAGUCCCCAAUGGGUCCUCCGCAGCAAGUGAUGUCCCCAGGACCUCCACCCAGUCCAGGCCUGCAAGUGGCAUCACCGUCACAUCAGCAUUUGAACUCACAUGGCCACAUGGGCUAUCAGCAACAAUCUUUAUGUCCUAGUGGAAUGCUUCAUAAUCCACAAGGGUCUUCAGUUCCUCAAUUGCCAGCGCAGAUGGUUUCUCAGUCAUCACCACAUGACACAUACCAGGCUCUACAAAGGGCAAUUGGAGCCAUGGAGGAGAAGGGGAUGCAGAACGAUCCCCGCUAUUCACAACUGUUGGCCCUUCGUGCUCGGCAGGUCCCAUAUGGUAACCCAGCCCAAGCAGACCCAUCACGAAUAAUACAGGGACCGGGUAGUUUUCUUGAUAGCACACCAAAGCAUAUCUUCAGUUCUCUUCAGCUACAGCAAUUACGAGUGCAGAUCAUGGCAUACCGACUGCUGGCUCGUAACCAGCCACUAACAAGUCAGAUGGCUCUGGCUGUGCAAGGGAAACGAAUAGAUUCUGUUCCCAGUCAUAGAAUGCCUCAACAGGGUGAUCCAGCAGGUGUUGUGAGUGGCGUAAUGCAGCAGCCAAUGAGAACUCCUGUUCCAGUAGGAGGUCAGCCACCAAGCCAGUCUCCUAUUCCAGGCCAGCCUGCUCCAUCAGCAGGACAACAGACUGUGGGUACAGCUCCAACCACAAGCACCUCCCCUAACAAUGGUGCAGGUACGGGGACUUCUGUAGUACAGCCGACAUCUACAACACAAGGUCCUCGUCCUCUCCCUCCCUCAGGACCAGCUGCAGGGGCUCAGUCUGCAGCACAGCCCCCACCUCAGCAGAAACAGAAUCGAGUGACCCCCAUAGCCAAACCUGCAGGACUUGACCCCUUGAUCAUACUUCAGGAGAGGGAAAACAGGCUGGCUGCAAGAAUCGCCCAUCGAAUUGAAGAACUGAACAAUUUGCCAACUGUGAUGGCAGAAGAUCUGAAAAUUAAAGCACAGAUUGAACUACGUGCAUUGAGAUUGUUAAAUUUUCAGAGACAACUGAGAACAGAGGUUGUGGCAUGCACGAGGAAGGACACAAUGUUAGAAACUUCCUGUCAUAUUAAGACUUACAAACGAACAAAACGCCAGGGUCUCCGUGAAGCUCGGGCUACUGAGAAGCUGGAGAAGCAGCAGAAACUUGAAGCAGAACGGAAGCGUCGGCAGAAACAUCAAGAAUACUUAAAUGCUGUUCUGCAACAUGGAAAGGACCUGAAAGAGUACCACAGGAACAAUAUUGCCAAGAUCUUGAGACUAAAUCGCGCAGUGUUAAACCAUCAUGCUAAUGCAGAGCGUGAACAGAAGAAAGAACAGGAAAGAAUUGAGAAGGAGAGGAUGAGGCGACUCAUGGCCGAGGAUGAAGAGGGUUACAGAAAAUUGAUUGAUCAGAAGAAGGACAAACGGCUUGCAUUCCUGUUAUCACAAACAGAUGAAUAUAUAGGCAAUCUCACAGAAAUGGUAAAGCAGCACAAAGUUGAACAGCGCCGUAAACAGCGUGAGCAAAAGGAGAGAAAGAAAAAGAAGAAGAAGAGAUCUGAAGAUGGUGAGAUAAUUGAUGGGUUGAAUGAUGAAAGCUCACAAAUGUCUGAUGUGCGAGUUACUGUGAUGGAAACGGCCACUGGGAAGAUUUUAUGUGGAGAUGAGGCUCCCCUGGCAAGCCAGUUUCAAGCAUGGCUUGAGAUGCAUCCUGGAUGGGAGGCUGCACCUCGUGAAGAUGAUGAAGAUGAUGAUGACGACGAUGAAUCAGAUGUUGAUACUGAUGAUUAUGAUGAUGAUGACAGAGAUUUGAAGAAGAACAGUGAUGAUAAUUCACUGAAUCCCAAGAUGUCUGAAGAAGAGAAGGCUAAAGUUGUGAUACAAAAGGCCAAAGUGGAAGAUGAUGAGUACAAGAACUACACAGAGGAACAGACGUAUUACAGUAUUGCUCAUACGAUCACAGAGAAGGUGACAGAGCAGGCAUCAAUAAUGGUGAAUGGCAAGCUGAAAGAAUACCAGAUAAGGGGUCUGGAGUGGUUGGUAUCCCUGUAUAACAAUAACCUGAAUGGAAUCCUGGCAGAUGAGAUGGGUUUGGGGAAGACUAUUCAGACAAUUGCACUUAUCACGUACCUAAUGGAAAAGAAGAGAGUCAAUGGACCUUAUCUUAUUAUUGUCCCCUUGUCCACUCUGUCCAACUGGGUGCUAGAGUUUGAGAAGUGGGCUCCAUCUGUCAUUAUUGUGGCAUACAAGGGCUCUCCAACCAUGCGUCGCAAUAUACAAAGUCAGAUGCGUGCCACCAAGUUCAAUGUGCUGCUCACAACAUAUGAGUAUAUCAUUAAGGACAAGGCCGUACUUGCAAAGUUGCGGUGGAAGUUCAUGAUUAUUGAUGAGGGACACCGCAUGAAGAACCACCACUGCAAAUUGACCCAAGUUUUGAACACGCAUUACUUGGCUCCACACAGACUUCUACUUACUGGUACCCCACUGCAGAACAAACUCCCUGAGCUCUGGGCGCUUCUGAAUUUCCUGCUACCAUCAAUCUUCAAGUCAGUCAGUACCUUUGAACAGUGGUUCAAUGCUCCCUUUGCUACAACAGGAGAGAAGGUUGAACUGAAUGAAGAAGAAACCAUACUGAUCAUCCGCCGUUUGCAUAAAGUUUUACGGCCAUUCCUCCUGCGUCGUUUGAAAAAGGAGGUUGAGUCGCAGUUACCAGACAAAGUGGAAUACAUCAUCAAGUGUGACAUGUCAGGGCUGCAGAGAGUUCUGUACAGCCACAUGCAAAGUAAGGGAGUCCUCCUAACUGAUGGAUCUGAGAAAGGAAAGCAAGGGAAGGGUGGAGCCAAAGCGCUUAUGAACACCAUAAUGCAGCUUCGUAAGCUCUGCAAUCAUCCAUUCAUGUUUCAGCACAUUGAGAAGGCAUACUGUGACCAUGUUGGCAUCCAUGGAAGUGUUGUUAUAGGGCCAGAUCUGUACCGAGCAUCAGGAAAAUUUGAAUUGCUUGACCGCAUUUUGCCAAAGCUGAAGGCAACUGGUCAUCGUGUGCUUCUUUUUUGUCAAAUGACACAACUUAUGACCAUUAUGGAAGAUUAUCUUGGAUGGCGUGGAUUUCACUAUUUGCGUCUGGAUGGCACCACUAAAGCUGAAGACAGGGGUGAACUUCUGCGCAAGUUCAACAGCCCUGAGUCUGACUACUUUGUGUUUUUGUUGAGCACUCGAGCUGGAGGACUAGGUCUGAAUUUGCAGUCUGCUGAUACUGUUAUCAUUUUUGACUCAGAUUGGAAUCCACAUCAGGAUUUGCAAGCCCAGGACCGAGCUCACCGUAUUGGUCAGAAGAAUGAAGUGCGGGUCCUGCGACUCAUGACAGUGAACUCUGUGGAGGAACGUAUACUAGCAGCAGCGCGUUACAAACUCAAUAUGGAUGAGAAAGUGAUUCAGGCUGGCAUGUUUGAUCAGAAAUCAACCGGCUCAGAGCGUCAGAAAUUCCUCAAAACAAUUCUCCACCAGGAUGAGGCAGAUGAUGAGGAGGAGAAUGAAGUGCCUGAUGAUGAGACUGUGAACCAGAUGAUUGCUCGGUGUGAGACCGAAUUCGAGAUGUUCCAGAAGAUGGACAUUGAACGUCGGCGUGAGGAUUCGAAACUUGGCUCAGACCGCAGACCUCGUCUGAUGGAGGAACAGGAGUUACCAACAUGGCUUGUGAAAGAGGAUGAAGAGGUGGAGAAAUGGACAGGAGAGGAGGAAGAAGAACGCUACUAUGGGCGAGGCUCUCGCCAACGUAAGGAAGUGGAUUAUACUGACAGUCUGACAGAAAAGGAAUGGCUGAAGGCCAUUGAUGAUGGAAUUGAGGAGGAGGAGGAAGAAGAAAGAAAACCUGCCAGAAAGAAGUUCCGGAAACGGAGACGGAAAGAUGAGGAUGAUGCUGGAAGUGGGAACAGUUCAGCUGUGACAGUUCCACCUGUUGUAAUGGUGGUAGAGCAGCCCCAUGUCAAGAAGCGACGGGGGCGCCCUCCCCUUGAGAAAGGAACUUUAGUAAAUGGCAAAAUAAAAAAACAAAUGCGGAAGCUCAUGAACAUUGUGAUUAAGUAUGCUGAUUGUGAUGGUCGAACAUUGAGUGGACCGUUUAUGAAGCUACCUUCCAAGCAGGAGCUCCCAGACUAUUACAACAUAAUAAAGAGGCCAAUUGAUAUAAAAAAAAUACAACAGAGGCUGGAAGAAAAUAAGUACACUUCAUUUGAUGACUUGGAGCGUGACUUCAUUCAGAUGUGUCGCAAUGCACAAAAGUACAAUGAAGAAGCAUCUCUGAUUCAUGAAGACUCAAUAGUAUUGGAAACAGUGUUUGCUAAUGCCCGAAUUCGACUGGAACAGGAUUCAGAACCAACCGAAGAAGAUGAGGAGGAAGAAGGCGAAGAGGAAGGGGUAGAAAAUCCUGAUGAUUGUGCAGUCAGUGCAGAGGCAGAAAACUGUCGUCGGUCAAUAACGAUACGUCAGCCUGCUGUAGAUGAAGAUAUGCAUUCUGACAAUGACUCGAUGAAGGUCAGAAUUAAGCUCAAAGGCCGCAGAAGUGAAUCCAGUAGUUUAUCUGGUCGCAAAAAUGUGAAGAAGUUGUCAAAGAAGCUUUAUAGUGAGGAUGAUGAAGAAGAUGAUGAAGAAGAGGCAGAACUGGAAACUGCUGCUGAGUCCGUAGCAGAAAGAAUUACAACUACAGAUUCCAGUGGCCUCCACUGGUGUUGGAAUGGCACAAAGAAACAAGAUAACAGUUGAGAGAAAUAAAUUUCAUGCUAACAAUUAAAAUACUACUAUAAAUAAUAAGUUCAGCCAAUAAAACCUAAGAUUAUGAGUGAUCAGUGAAUGAGUGAGAAUCUGGCCCAUACAGUCUGCUGAUUGUGAUGGCCCAAGAAUCCAACUCUGCAAGAUAUAAAUGAAGCAGUAGAUGUCAACAUUUGUUUUGGAUUCAGUAAAUUUAUCUUUCAUUCAAUGGGCUGUGCCUGCUACAGAGUGAUGCAUCAAGAGGUCAGCAUUCUGUGGCAUUGUAAUGUUAUAUUGCUUUAUAGUUAAACUUUCUCACUUCAUGAAGGGUUCUAUUGUAUUUAAAAUGUUGGUGUGGCAAACAUAUGAAGUGGGUUAAAAACAAUUUUAAUUUAUUUGGGUUACUGUCUAGAGGGGGAAUAUUAGUCCACUGGUACUGGGACUUAGUUACUGUUUUGCACUUAUCCGCAGUGUUGAUGAUGAAAUUGUAUAUUGAUUUUCUUUUUUUCAGAAAUUAUUUGUAAAACUAAUAAUUGCAGUGACUCACUUAGGAACAUUUGUCUUACUACAACAUUGUAUUUCUGUCUUGUAUUACUGGUGGUUAUUUUGGAGUAGUCCUGGUGUUUUGCACUUGAUGAAAUAUUCUACUAUCUGUAGAAUAGAGUUUACUGUGCUACAAUGCCCAUGCUAAUAUUUGUGCUUGUUCCUUUCUGGUUUCUCUCUUAUGUUAACCUUUUAAUUCUUACAUGAUGAAGACCAUUAUAACAUGCCAUCCUAAUUUUUAUGUUCAUUUCAAAGCUGUAAUUAAAUUUAUAAGCAUAUUAUUUCUAUGUACAGUUGUAAAUAGUGCAAGAAAAAAUACAUGUUCUUAUGUGAGAAAACACUGAGCCCCAUGAAGCGGCAGUGAAUUCCCUUCCCCUUGUUAAAGGCAUGAACUUAAUAUUUUGUGGAUUGAAAUUUGUAGAUUUUUCGUAUCUAACAAGUGCUUCUGCUCAUUUCAUGAUGACUACCAGUAUGCUAAUCGCUGGUAUAAUUUUCUCCAUAAUAUUCCAACAUUCGUCUUGUAGAGUUUUGUCGUGUAAAUGUUUAGAUCCCAAAUGUGUUUGUCAUAAGGGAGGAGUUGCAGCAUAGAAGGAGAAAUAAAAUCUUUGUGGAAUGUUGGGACCACUUUCAAAGUGUCAAAUUUGUAUACUGGUUGCAAUUUUUGGUGCAAGAGUACACAGUAACGUUCGAUUGCAAACUGACAUCGAGAAGAAUAAGCAGUAUGUUCUUUGAGGUUUUCACAGUACUCCAUUCUUCAGCUUUCUGUAUGCCUGGUUUCUCACUCUUCUGAUUCACCUCAUUUUUCAGUGUUGAGUUUGAUGAGGCUUUUCAUCUCAAGGUUACAGUGUCAAACACAUCUCCUUGUAUGCCUGGUAGUCAUAACUGCAGGGGUUGGAUGUUGGGUAUUUGAUUCAAGAUGUGUACUCAGAUCAGCAUGGAUGGGCUCUAUGUGUUAAGGUGUAUGUAAUGGGAUGCUUGUUCAGAGGUAAUAACAUGAAGGAAUGAAUUACAAGUUAAUUGAUUGAACUUCCUUACAGAUUAAUUAAAUUUUGGUGGAUUUAUUAAUUCAGAGACAUGGAUAAUUGUGCCUAUUAUUUUGCUGCUCUUUCUCAAAAAAGAAAUAUACAUAUAUUAUCACUUGGGUGUACCCUCACAAAUGAAGUAUGGUCUGAGUAAUUGAUUCAGGAAGUUCAGUUGGUCUUAUCAUGAUAAAUUUAAUUACUUUCUGGAUCUUAAUUUAGCAUGGUUUAAAAGCACAUAUAACAUGAUACCCAGGUUCUGAAAACUAUCAGGAAAGAAAAAUUUAUAUUAGUUUAUAUUUACAGUAGUAAAAUUUCUGAGUUUGAAUUAAAUUUUGUUGGGUCAUGGAGCUAUCAUCUGAAAACCUGGGAUGUUGCUGAAUUCAAGUGACACUAGCUUUAAUUGAUUCAUUUUGAGACACUUUGAGUAGUUCAAACUGUACAGUGUCGAAUGGUAAGAAUAUCAUCCUGCCAUUAAACACUACAUAAUUUUCACUGCCAAAUUGAAAGGAUUUGGAAGGAAGCAGCCUUAACCUAAUUGAAAUAGUACCCCAACAUUUAUGGGAGAGAGUGAGGAAAAACCUCGAUGAGGAUAGCUGGUGACCUGGCUGAGAUUGGAACUGAGCAUUAACAUUAUGCGAGGCUACUUGUUAUUGACACGAGAAACAAAAUUUUCAACAGCUUUUGAUAAAAUCUGAAUUCAGCUUGUGGAUUGGUCAGUUGAGUUAUGUCUUUUGACAUAGUUCCAUGACUGAUAAUUCAAGGAGGGUUCUUGCCACUUGUCUCGUUGGCUGGAACCAAAACACUUCUCAUUCAGAAAUCACAUCAGGACACUGUGCUAAUGUGUGGUAACCAAGGCAUAUGCAUACUUCACCACCACCCUAAUUUUUCAGAGCUGCUUGUACCAAAUUUUGGUUUUUAACCACACAUAACAUCAGCAAUGACUUGUAGGACAGCUGUCAUGUGACUGUUGCUAGUAUUCAAGCGUUCAGCUGUAUGAGCUAGUUCAUAGUUCCAGUCUCUUUUAGAUGAUAAUGUCAUGGUAUUUCUUUAUACCAGUGUUGCUGCCUGCUAAUUUUGAGGGUUCAGUUUGUCAUUUGUAUGAGGGAGCUGAGUCUGGUUUUGAACCUGAGAUUGAAAACUGCCCUAACAGCAGUCUGAAUGUGACUACAUUCUUCUGGGUUGUAACACCUUGUAGGCUUCUAAGAGAUUUAUGGCAUUUCAGAGAAGCCUAGUGCUUGCAUCUUCAGGUACCUCGUAUAAACCCACCCUGUCAUUUUUCUGAUGAUGGAGAAAAGUCUUCAGAAUUGUCUUCUCUCGUCUAAAGUUUUUCAGCAUAGGUUCUGCUGAUGAGCACUCUUUCUCAGUGCAAUUGCUACAUCAUUAGGGUGUGUUGAAACAGAUCAUGAAAAUGCAGGAAAUGAGAUAUUUAUUCAACAUGCUCUAUGUACUGAGGGUCAUUGUGGCCUCUGCCUGAUGCCACUAUUAUUAAGAUUUUUAACUACAGGAAGGAAAUGUAUACUACAAAGUAGACUGAAUUCCAGGAUAUAGUUUUAGACAUCAGUCAGAUGCCAUCAUCAUCAAAUUCUUGAAACAUACAUAUUUCUCUAAGUCUUAUCUAGCACCGAUACUCACAGUUAUGUAAAACACAAUUUUAAGUGUAAUUUCAUCCAAUCUGUCUUACUGCUUAUUUUGCCUGGUUAUGUUUCUUGCAUAAACAAUUUGCUUGUAUGACAUUUGAUAGUAGGUCUGAGUUUAAGAAACUGAGAAAUGCUGGACAUAUUGUAAUAUGUAUAGGAGAAUAAUUAUGUAUAAUAUUUCACAGUUAUUUCCUGAUAUAGGCUGGUGAUAACUGUAUAAAAAGACAUUAAGAUAAAGUGGAAGGUGAAGUGUGCUACAGAAAGUCAGUGAACUUGUCUUUUUUAAGGAAUGGAAUAUUAUUAAAAGAAUGUAACAUUAUGUUAGGAAGUGAUCAUUGUGCCUGCAAAAUUAUGGGAGAGGUCAUUUUGGUAAUAUUUUUCUACAUUUGGUCCUAUUGUCAAUGAAAUCCUGGUUCUUAUUAUUAUAGAUGCUCCUAGAGCUUUUCAGGUUAUAGUAAUGAGUGUGUAUGUAGCAGAGGGGCAGGCAUGAUUAUCAGAGAACCUUUGCAAUGGUAGGUUCUGCCUGUACCUUAAUGUUAAUUAUGUUAUUUUGGACCCAAUGCCAUGUUACUUUACAUACUGGUUGCUUAAAAGGCAGUGUUUGGUGCACAGUAAUUCAGACAUUAUAUAUAUUGAACAAAAGUGGAAACUCAUUUCAACAUUGACACAUUCAUGUGGCAUUCAAUGUAUUGUGUUGUAUUUCAAAUAGUGUUGACAUAUUUUUAUGUUGAAAUUUGUCAGGUGGGUGGGAAGGGGACUCAGAAUAGGUAAAUGUGAUAUUAAACUGAGGUAGUUGCUGGCAUUGAAAUGUUACCAUGGCUGCCAGAGUACUACUGUGGAAAGCCUGAAACCCUAACUUUUUUAUUUAACUUGAAUUCUUUUUUAAAUUUGAUUUUGAGCUGUAAAUUUAUAUGAACUGAGCCAGAGAAUGUGUUUUUCAGUCAUGGAUGGGAAUUUAGAAACAAAGCCUAUGUUUCCAGUUCCACAGUAUCAUUUGAAACAUUUUUCUAAAUUAAGUGAAACUUGCAAUGUUGGUUUAAGUGAAAUGAUAAUUUCGAGUGGCCGGUAAGCUUCUAAAAUAAUUGUUUUAUAUAAUUAUCUCUUCUUCUUUGUCAUAUUUACACAAUUUUUAAAUUUGAAUUAUCAUUCAUAGAUAUUUUUGGAGUGCUGCUACAAAAUGUAUUUUUCUAAAAUUGCUGCCUUAAGCUUUUUUACGGUACCACAGGGUCUUAAAUUAUUAUUAUCCAUACUUUUCUCAUUCAUCUUUAGAAUUCAGUACAUUGUCUGCCAGUUGUGUUAUAAGUGAAAUUUCUGUGAAUAGAUCGUGUUCACAUAGCACCUUUUACUUAAAUGAUUCUUUUACCCAUCCUCCCAUCAAUUGGUGUUACUUGGAAUCAGGUUUUCCACAAGAGAUGCUUAGUGAAUAGCUCCACAUUUACUGCAGAAGGAAAGUGGUAGAUAUAAGUUGAUCUACAGAUUAAAAUAGAUGAGCGCAAGUUUAAUUAUGUAACAGCUGAGGAAAUUUGAUUUUGUUUAAUCCGUGGGGUACAGGAUUUUCCGUCAUGUGAUUUACUGCAUGCUGAGUAAUGUAAUUAUUUGUGUAUUAAAUUUUUUCUUUGUUUAGGAAGGAUGCUAUAGAAAUAUUUUUAAUAAAAGAAUAUAAAGACACAUUAAAUGGGAUCAAAUACUUACGUGUUGAUAUGUAUUUUUUAUGUCCUGAUGCAUGAUAAAGGAAAUUGGUGUAGGAUAGAGCAUUCUGCAAGGGUUGGUGGUCAAUUCUAAUCAUAUAACUUGUAUUAUAUUAAGAAUCUGAAAAUAAUUCUUUAUUUUAAGUUAUUGUACAUGUAGCAAUAGACAUUGGCUUAUUUGUCAAAGUGAAACAGAUCUGUUUCCUCAAUAAUGAAUCGGUUAUUGUGCUGUUGUCUUGAAGGUGUGUUGAGAGAAGUGAUUGGAAAUUGGAGAAAUUGCAGCUGUACUGACAUGGUGCUCCGUUUUUCCAUCAUAAAAAUACAGUUCAUGCACUAUAGGAGUAUAGUUGGUUCAGAAUUGGCAUAUCCCAGAGAAGCUACUUGCUAUGUAAAGAAAAUAUCUGCUAACAUAAUAAGAUAUAUUUAUAUAUUGGAUAGGUGAGAAACAUAAGAGCACUGAGUGAGGCCAGGAUUUACAGAAGCUGUAGAACAUAUUUCACCAGAUUUAUUUCAUUCAUAAUGAGAACAUCUUCAGUGAAUAGAUACUGUAAUUGAAUGUGAGAAAGUGAUAGUGACUUCUGUGAGUCCUUGCUUAUGUAAGUGCUUUUCCUCUCUUACUUGUGUGUUAAAUGUGGUAGGUCAGACUGGGAAAGGAAUUACAGAAAGUGCUGGAAGUUAGUAUUUUUGCAGAGGUCACAGGGAGUGAAUUUGCAGUUAGUGUACUAUUGUACUCACUGGAAAGCACUGUUCAGUCCCCUCUUGGGUACUGAGUCCUGUAUGAAUUGAAACACAUAUAUAUUUAUUAGUUGUACAGUUCCCCUUCUGCAAAUUUUUUGCAUCGAAUGUGCAUUUGCACAAGGUAGCAAAUAAUGAGCUGUGGUUAGUUUCUCGUAUGUCUCCUUUAUUAUGGCAUGCAGUACUACAGAAAUCUGUUCUAAUAAUGUGUCAAAUUUGAGUUGACUUGUACUUGGAAGUCAUGGUUUUCAAAACAGUACUUAUUAUUUAUACAGAGAAGUGUUGUUUUUCCUUAAGUCAUUAAAACUGUAUGAAAACAUGA
Molecule: RNA transcript, 11126 nt
Organism: Cryptotermes secundus
Lineage: Eukaryota; Metazoa; Arthropoda; Insecta; Blattodea; Kalotermitidae
Gene name: ATP-dependent helicase brm
Exons: 30
Source: RefSeq, a predicted model, not a curated record